RNAcentral lists this ribosomal RNA (253 nucleotides) under uncultured bacterium. Its description in RNAcentral is "partial 16S ribosomal RNA". It matches the Rfam family "Bacterial small subunit ribosomal RNA", at positions 524 to 776 of the family's 1533-position model. The record is from RNAcentral.
AACGUAGGUGGCGAGCGUUGUCCGGAAUCAUUGGGCGUAAAGCGCGUGUAGGCGGUCCGGUAAGUCCGCUGUGAAAGUCGGGGGCUCAACCCUCGAAUGCCGGUGGAUACUGUCGGGCUAGAGUGCGGAAGAGGCGAGUGGAAUUCCUGGUGUAGCGGUGAAAUGCGCAGAUAUCAGGAGGAACACCAAUUGCGAAGGCAGCUCGCUGGGACGUUACUGACGCUGAGACGCGAAAGCGUGGGGAGCAGACAGG